UCUUAUUUGGGCUUUUAUUGUUGUCAAAUAA
Molecule: non-coding RNA, 31 nt
Filed under: Mus musculus (house mouse)
Lineage: Eukaryota; Metazoa; Chordata; Mammalia; Rodentia; Muridae
Source: RNAcentral